AUACGUAGGGUGCAAGCGUUAAUCGGAAUUACUGGGCGUAAAGCGUGCGCAGGCGGUUUUUUAAGACAGGGGUGAAAUCCCCGGGCUCAACCUGGGAACUGCCAUUGUGACUGCAAGGCUGGAGUGCGGCAGAGGGGGAUGGAAUUCCGCGUGUAGCAGUGAAAAGCGUAGAUAUGCGGAGGAACACCGAUGGCGAAGGCCAUCCCCGGGUCCUUCACUGAUGCUAAUGCACGAAAGCGUGGGGAGCAAACAGGAUUAGAUCCCCUGGUAGUCCACGCCCUAAACGAUGUCAACUGGUUGUUGGGGAUUUAUUUUCUCAGUAACGAAGCUAACGCGUGAAGUUGACCGCCUGGGGAGUACGGCCGCAAGGUUAAAACUCAAAGGAAUGGGCGGGG
Molecule: ribosomal RNA, 395 nt
Filed under: uncultured bacterium
Lineage: Bacteria
Description: partial 16S ribosomal RNA
Rfam family: Bacterial small subunit ribosomal RNA
Source: RNAcentral